AUGGAGAAUGGGAGGAUCCCUAGCGGCGCCGGAGGAGGAGGAGGCGGCGCGAGCGCGAGCGACCUCCAGAGAGCAGCGGCGACUCGCGCCCUCACCGACGCCGCCGCCCGCCUCGGCCUCCAGGCCACCGUCACCGACGUGGGUAGCACCGGCUGGCAGUGGCCGCCGCAGGAGCAGUUCCUCUUCGCGUGCGAGGACGGCGACCUGGACCGCCUCAAGGCCGUGGUAGAUGGCAUGGACGACGAUGACAGGGAGUCGCUUGCCUACGUGAGGUUCAGGGGCGUUGGGGCAUUGCAUUCCGCAGCAUCCAAGGGUGAUAUGGGGAUCUGCAAGUACUUGGUGGAGGAGCUUGGAUUUGAUGUCGACUCCGAGGCUGCUAAUCCCGGCUCUGGUGCGACGCCUUUGUCUUUUGCGGUGGGGCAUGGGGAAGUGAAUGCCACAAGGUAUUUUCUUGAAAAAGGUGCUGAUCCCAACAUAAAAGAUUCCUCCAACGGCACGACUCCUCUGCAUGAAGCAGUAGCAACAGGCUGUGAUGAAAUUGCACGACUGCUGCUAUCGAAAGGAGCUAAUGUUGAUGCACCUUCUCCUCAUGGGACACCUCUAGUUGCCGCUGCAGCUCAUGGGAAGUUCAGUGCUAUGAAGAUUUUGCUGGAGCACCAUGCAGAUCCGAAUAAAGUCUCAUGGGACCUUGGUACACCCCUGACCACAUCACUCUAUGUUACUCCUGAAAGAAUGAAUGGAUCCACUUGCUUAGAGUGCAUGAAACUUCUUGUCAAGGCUGGUGCGGAUGUCAAUUGUACAACUCCUGAAACUCCAUUGGCGAUAGCAACUAACAAUGGCUUAACCACAUGCGUUAAAUACUUGUUGGAGGUUGGCGCAAAUAUCAAUGUUCCAUCUAAGCAGGUUAAGAAAGGUGACAGUGAUAGCAAAGCUUCACUGAAAUCAAGUGUUGCAAAAGCUGCUGAAGGGAAGAACUAUGUUGCUGCAUCAAAAUUCUAUUCUGAGGACAAGUCAAGUGACAAAGAUAGGAAGGCUUGGCUGAAAUCACAAGGUGCAAAAGCAGUUGAGUGCAAGGACUAUGCUGCGGCAUCAAAAUUCUAUACGGAGGGGGGCGGUUGA
Molecule: ribosomal RNA, 1119 nt
Filed under: Triticum aestivum (bread wheat)
Lineage: Eukaryota; Viridiplantae; Streptophyta; Magnoliopsida; Poales; Poaceae
Description: partial small subunit ribosomal RNA
Source: RNAcentral